AUACGGAGGAUGCGAGCGUUAUCCGGAUUUAUUGGGUUUAAAGGGUGCGUAGGCGGACGAUUAAGUCAGCUGUGAAAUGCCCGCGCUUAACGCGGGAAGCGCAGUUGAUACUGGUUGUCUGGAGUGCCGUUGCCGUGGGGGGAAUGUGUAGUGUAGCGGUGAAAUGCAUAGAUAUGACGAAGAACACCGAUUGCGUAGGCAGCUGACCAGACCGCAAAUGACGCUCAUGCACGAAAGUGCGGGGAUCGAACAGGAUUAGAUACCCUGGUAGUCCGCACAGUAAACGAUGAAUACUUGUUUUCGGCGAUAUAAUGUCGGAGGCAAAGCGAAAGCGAUAAGUAUUCCACCUGGGGAGUACGCCGGCAACGGUGAAACUCAAAGGAAUUGACGGGG
RNAcentral lists this ribosomal RNA (393 nucleotides) under uncultured bacterium. Its description in RNAcentral is "partial 16S ribosomal RNA". It matches the Rfam family "Bacterial small subunit ribosomal RNA", at positions 523 to 918 of the family's 1533-position model. The record is from RNAcentral.